CGCGGCCUAUCAGCUUGUUGGUGAGGUAACGGCUCACCAAGGCAAUGACGGGUAGCUGGUCUGAGAGGACGAUCAGCCACACUGGAACUGAGAUACGGUCCAGACUCCUACGGGAGGCAGCAGGAGGGAAUCUUGCGCAAUGGGCGAAAGCCUGACGCAGCGACGCCGCGUGGGGGGUGAAUGCCUUAGGGUUGUAAACCCCUUUCACGAGGGAAGAAACUGACGGUACCUCGAGAAGAAGCCCCGGCCAACUACGUGCCAGCAGCCGCGGUGAUACGUAGGGGGCGAGCGUUGUCCGGAUUUAUUGGGCGUAAAGGGCUCGUAGGCGGCUUGGCAAGUCGGCCGUGAAAACCCAGGGCUCAACUCUGGGACGCCGGUCGAUACUGCCAUGGCUAGGGUCCGGUAGAGGGGAAUGGAAUUCCCGGUGUAGCGGUGAAAUGCGCAGAUAUCGGGAGGAACACCAGUAGCGAAGGCGGUUCCCUGGGCCGGCACCGACGCUGAGGAGCGAAAGCGUGGGGAGCAAACAGGAUUAGAUACCCUGGUAGUCCACGCCGUAAACGUUGGGUACUAGGCGUGGCGUCUUAUCAACGGAUGCCGUGCUCGAAGCUAACGCGUUAAGUACCCCGCCUGGGGAGUACGG
RNAcentral lists this ribosomal RNA (640 nucleotides) under uncultured Actinomycetes bacterium. RNAcentral's name for it is "bacterial SSU rRNA". It matches the Rfam family "Bacterial small subunit ribosomal RNA", at positions 232 to 885 of the family's 1533-position model. The record is from RNAcentral. Lineage: Bacteria; Bacillati; Actinomycetota; Actinomycetes.